ACCUGAAAAAGAAGCUAAGUUUUAACCUGGGGGUUGGGCUGUCUUUAACAAUGAUUCUUAUUUACUUAAAAAAAUCACUUGUUUUCUCUUCAAAACUGGGGGUAGUGGGACUUAUACAAACAGACACCCGAGAUGGACUCAUGUACGGCUUCGGAGGAGAUAAGAAUCCAUUUCAAGUGACAUUAUAAAAUUAUGUAAAACUUGAACUUCAUUACGGAUACGAAAGGGUUCCCUUCAGAGGGGUAAGGCCUAGAAGUCAGGGCUGGGAAGAAGACUGAGUAUUUUACUUUACUGUAUAACUUUUGUUUGCAUUUUAACAGAAAUGUGUAUUUGUACAUCUCUAUCCAAAGUCCAGAAUAUGCUAUCUAUAGUACAAAAAUCGGAUUCAAAAUGAUCGAAAAUCCAAACUUUUUGAGAGCCAACAUGAUACCAUAAGUGCAAAUUUUAACACCUAAUUUCAUGUGAUAAUUUGCAGGUAAAACACAGGUGCCCUAUAAAUACUGUAUAAAAUUACACUUAUAUUAUGUGUAUACAGUGUAUAUAAAAAUAAAUGAAUUUCAUGUUGAUACUUGGGUUUCAUCUCCAAAACAGAUAUUUCAUUAUAUAUAAGCAAAUAUUCCAAAAUCCAAAAUAACCUAAAACUUGAAAUGCUUCUCGUCCCCUGCGUUUCAAUAAAUAGUAUUUAGCCUGUACUAGGUACUUUACUGAGAAGCAGUCUUUGUCUUCCUAGAGUUAUCAGUAUAGUGGGCAACAGAAAGCAACACAGAUAGCUGUAACAGGCAUGAGACAACGCAGAACUGAAGAAAAUGAGGUUAUGUUCAGCACCCCUUUCCGUGGCACGCCUCUCCCCACAUUUCACAUGUUUGUAGCAGCUGCCACUUAGCAGUAGAGGAAAGGUACCUGACCCACCUAGGGCAAUCGAUUUUCUUCUCCAUGAGUUACGGAAAAAGAAACUAAAUGAAGGAAGGCCAGUAGAGGAUAUUGAAACAUCCAGAAUUGUUUAUAAUAGUUUGUGCCCUAUGCCAGCUGCAUUAGAUUUACCAGAGCAUCUUUCCUAUCAAAAAUAGAUUCCUGAUCAGUACAGAUGGGGGCAGGGACAGGAAUCACAACACCCUUUAACCUCUCAGGUGAUUCUAGCACACAUUCUGACAACCACUGCUGGAUGCUGUGACAUGUCACGUGAGGAACCCAUACUCAAUUCUGGAAGCAACAGGGCAAUGUACUUGACAUAGCAAAAGGCUAAAGGAACAUUCCAAAAUGAGAGUCACAACCAAAAUGUCUCCAGCAGAGUGGCCUAGGCUGUGCAGGGACAGCGGCUCUAGGUUCUGAAAUGCGUCUCUAUGUAAGAUAAAGUGACACACAAAUGCUAGAAACUUGUCAGUAAUUCCGUCUUAGUGAGAGGCCAGCCAGGAAGAGAAAACACUGCCAACACUCUGUCUUAUUCAAGGUGUAAGAAACAUAUCACCUUCUCAGUAGAAGUAGUUUAUAAAUCUGUGAGCUCAGAAAAUAAGACAGAUGAUUCUACUGAAUGGCCAUCUGAUGAUGUAUAUUUAGAAGGGUCAUACUCCAUCACCUGCACCUCAGUCCAUAGGACUUAACUUUUCUACCCCAAACAGCAGCAACUCCCACAGAAAAAUUACUGUUCUGGCCCCCUGGAAAAGUCAAUCAACAGAAGGUCACUUCAACAGAGGCUGUGGGAUGUUUCAGAAUUUCUGUCCCAUAUGAAGUAGUGGAUAACCCUGGCAGGAUUGAGCAAGAUGGGGAACCCACCUCUUCACCAGCUUUAAGUUUUUGAACUGUCUCUAUCUCUAUGCAAAAUUCCAAAGAAGUCAAGGUCUAGUGUUAUCUACAAAACAAGUUGCUAAAUUGUACCCAAAUGUGCAUUUAUUUCUUUUCUCCACAGAUUAGCAAUGCUCGGGGAAUAACACUGGAAGCCUUACAUGACUCCUGCUAUUCUUAAUCUCCUGCAGUAUCAGAGGAUGGAUACAGACCAAUUUGGCUCUUACAGGAAGUGACCUGUAUAUAGAACGACAGUGUCUGUCUCACAUUUUCCUUAGAAACUAGAUAGCAGAUUAGUUUCAUUAGAAGCAUGAAACAAAUUCUACCUACAAAAAUUAAGGGAGGGAGGAAGCAAUUAGUAUUCACUAAAUUCAAGAAUGUGUCCAGAGCUUUUUACCCCAUCUUCUUUAAUCCUGGCAACAACAGCUCCAUAAAGGAAAGCCUGUUGUUAUUUUUAUUUACAGUUGUGGAAACUGCAGCUCUGAGAGAUGCAAAAACUUGCCCCAAGGGCACACAUCUAGUAAGAGGUAGAGCUAGGUUUUGAACCUUGAUUAAUUACCUCCACACUGCCUCUCGAGAUAAAGGACUUCUGCCCUGAAGGUACAAGAGGUCACCUAGCUGGCUCUGAAAGCCAAAGGCUGCCACAGAAGCGCGACUUGGGUUUCAGUGUGGGACUUGCCUUUACUUCUUUCCAAGGGUCCUCCAGCACCUUAGUCUGAACCAGGGAUUGCACAAGUCCUUUGGCACUCUUUACUAAGCCACAGGUCAACAGAAAACAACAGCAGCACUGUUACAGCAACUAAAAACUGGUUUGCUUGGAAGUUGGGCAAUGGUCCCUCUAUGUAAAGGAUACUGGAACUCAGAGCUACUCCAAAGUUUUAAAUCUUAUAGCAGCACCAUGGUUUAAUAAAUUCCAUGAAAAAGCCCAAAACAACUGUAUUUCAGGAAUGCAGGGAGCUUGGGAGCAACCCCAGAUUCACAGCAGAAUCUACAUAUUGUGUUGGUCCCUGGUCAGAAGUCCACCCAGCCCCAAUCCUCAAGCAUUAACAAAUUCUCCAGUCCCCAAAGACUCCAAACUAGCACUAAGACCUGGGCUUUAUCUAGGAACACUAUCAACUGGUCAGAGAACCUUCCUUCCUUCAUUUCUUUCUUAUCACCCUUCCUUCCCACUCUAGGCUUGGCUCCUGCCUCUUUUCAGUUUUAUCUAAUCUCCACUCAAUAAUAAUAAAAGAGGGAAAGAAAACAGAUUAAACUGGCUUUGGGAGUGGCUGAUAGCUUAAUUGGUCUUUUUUGGUUUUUGUUUUGGUGGGGUGGAGAGACUUAGCUUAUGUCUUUCUUUUUCUCUGGGACAAAAUAUUUGACAUUCUCAACUGAAGAGAGGUUUAUUUGGGCUCAUGCUAGUUCCUUGCUUCAUUCCAUGUAGAUGCAUGUGAGAAACCGUAUAAAUUAUUUCUAGAUUUUCCUAAACAGGCUAUCUCUUUGAUUCAGUAAUUCAUAGAAGUAAUUUCAACAAAACAAAAACCUCUUAAUUUGCAACUAAAUACAAGGAUCUUGGUAUCUGUAACUAUAAAAAUUUUCAAGCCAGGACAAAUGUCUAUUUGGGGAGAGAAAAAAAAAAAAAACCAUAGAUGGGAACAGAAGAGUUUUAGAAAAAGGAAUCGUCUAUAACAACCAAAUCCAGCAGCACAGUUUUUCUUUUUCUUUAAAUUCUGAACAUGUUUGUAUCAGUCUUGGUAAGAGAAGAAAACUGUAAAAAAGCUAACAAACCUGCCAAAAGAAGUAAAAACUGCCACUUUCAUUCUAGCUUUUGGUGAAAUCGUAACGGCAGCAUGUUUUUUCUUGAGCCCUGAUUACUUUCUUUUUUUAUAUAUAAAUUUGUUUUUUGUCUUUUUGAGAUAGGGUCUCGCUAUGCAGUUCAGGCUGGCCUCAAGCCCACUUUGUAGCCCAGGCUGGUCUCCAGCUUACAAUGAUCCUCCUGCCUCAGCCUCCCGAGUGCUGGGGUCACAGGGCGUGAUCUACCACGCCCCGCUAUUCUGAUUACUUUCAAAGUGCACAGUAUGCUAUGGAGAUAAACACCACUCAGCUGCUUCUAACGUGACAGAAAGGUCUGCCAUCACAGUGACUUGUCCCUUCUUGUUCAAUGUUUAAGUCACUAGUUUAUUUACUCUUUCUGCUGACCUGUUCUGGAUAACUGAACAGAAUGUUCAAUGUAUAUUUCUAGAUUUUUAAAAAAAAGUAGAAUUGUCAUGGCGGUUAACUAAGUUUCAUUUCUAAAUAGUCACUGAAAUUUUUUGCACUUCAGUUUCCCAAUGUGUAUGAUAAGGUUGUUUGAUGAUUCUGUAAAGUUCAUUUAAAGGAAAAAAUGUGGGAUUCAUGCAUUAAAUGUGUAUGUAUCUGAUUGUCUAAUAUGUGCCAGGAACUACUUUAGGUCCUGGAGAUGUACAGUACCAGUGAACAAAGAGGAAAAAUUCCUGCCUUAGUGCUUCCAUUUUAGUGAAAAGAGACCAACAACAACAACAAAACAAAUAAACAAGCAAACCGGGUUCCAUUACACAGUGUCCUUCCUGUUCAUAAGCACCAAGAGGCAGCAGGGAAUGCAGAAGCCUUGGGGGAUGUCAGGACUCAAUGACACUGGAGCCACCUGAGAAGAACCUUGAAAGGAAGAAGGUACAACUUUCUCAGAAUAGAAGCACAAGUAAGAGCUGGGAGUUUGAAGCCAGAUGCCACAUGUUGAAAGAGGAAUCGAACAAAAGCUCAAGUCCAUCAGACUCUAAGGCAACUAUGCCACAGCUCAAUCGCAGCGAUAUACACAGUGAUAUGGUUUCUACACAGAGCUCCAGUUUCACUGAUUCAAAAUGUGACAAAUAACAGACAAAUCUCGAGGUACUUGAUUAAGGAUUUAUCCUGGCCUCUCUGGACUAAGAGAAGUGUAACUGACAGGGAUUCAUUCAUACAUUUAUCACUGAAAUGAAAGGAUAAAAGUUCCCAGCCUCCUUGUUAUGGCUCAUGUCUAAAGGUCCCUCCAAAAACUCAGGUGUUCAUAGUCAGGGAUUUUGGGAAGCAACUAAAUAUGGUUACAUGACAGGUGACUUUGCAUUUGGAGAUGGGACUUGGUUGGGGCACAAUCUUACAGAGUGUAUCUCCCUCCCUGUUUUUUCCCUCAACCUUUUCCUCACUGUCAGGAUGUGAACAGCUUUUCUCUGCCCAGGUCUUCCACCAUACCACCAACAAUACAAGGACUGAAACUUCUAAAAUGUGAGCCAAAAUAAACCUCUCCUCCUUAAA
Long non-coding RNA from Cavia porcellus (domestic guinea pig), 5064 nucleotides. RefSeq lists it as uncharacterized. The transcript has 2 exons. The record is from RefSeq and is a predicted model, not a curated record. Lineage: Eukaryota; Metazoa; Chordata; Mammalia; Rodentia; Caviidae.